CGAUAACUGUCACUUUUCAUAGAGUAGCAACUAAUAACAACAACAUCUAACUGACGAAUGUCAUUCAUAUCCAAAGUCACUCGUAAGGUUAUCAUAUUUUAAAUUUCAUUUUAGUCAUCGUGUGUAUAUAAGUGUUUUUUUUUGUUUUCAUUGAUAAUACCCUCAGGGGUGCUUUUGGAAGUUUUCAGUAAAAAAAUGAUAAAAAGUAAAAAAAACAGGUAUUUUAAAAAAAGUGGUCGAACUCUCCUGGAAUUACCCUACGUACGAACUGCGUAUCCAAAAGUACGUACUAAAUACCUUAUUUUUAUAACCAUGGACGUAUGAAAUAAAAAUUACCUAUCCAGGACGUGUGAUGGGACUGUUUGGAUUGCGCCAGACACAUCUACAAUAUAAUUGAUGAAUACCAUGACCCGGAGCAGUUUAAUUUCGCACACCGAGAGAAUUUUGAAACUUAAUGACUAAUGGCGUUCGGAUAUCGAUAAAUCAAGGAUCACUUAAAGGUUCGCGGGCGGUCGAUUAAGAGGGUUCCGUGUGACGUCACGCGGCGGCCAUCCAGUCCGUCCACUAGCCGCAACCUUUCAUUAGGAAAGUGGCUAGAUUUAUGUGUCGGCCGAGAUCAAAGGCGGUUAGGUGUGAGACCAAUUGUUCCCGUGACAAAACACUGCCAGACUGGACAGCUCCAAUCUAGUCAAAACAAUUAAAGAAGUAACUGCAACCUUUAAAAGGGGACAAUUUAUGAAGAUCAUAAACACAAAUGGAAAAAUUAUCAUUGAUAAACAUAAUCUGAAGAACAGGUGGAAGAUUUUUGAGGAUCCAAGAUCGAAGGUCACGUAUUCCUUUUCGAAAGAAGAUGCAGACAGUACAGGCCCACUCAUAUUUUUUUACUUUGAAACUGACAUUUAUUUACUUAGAUUAAAAUAUACAUUUUUAUAUCUAUUAUAACUAAUUCUCUUAUUCUAGAGGCGGACUAAACUAGAACUAAAUGUACAAAAAUAGACAAAUACGAGGACCAUGACUGCCUCAGCUUGAACCGUUACAAAACUAGGUUUGCUGACUUUUUUAAUAAAACGGAUAAAUGUGUCAAUUAAACCGUCACCAAUCUUGACACUACAAACCGUUCCCUUCUUCCCGUUUAGUUAAACACAUACAACGUUCAGCAGAAACCGUCUGAAGCGAUUUAAAUCAUAUCUCCAGCACUAAAUUAGUUCAUAUCUCGUGUAAUCAAAAAGAUAAUUUAAGACGACAGGCGGAAACGCAUUUAAAAAUGAAGUUAAACAUGUGUAUCUGCCGCGGACCGAGAUGAAAGCACACGCAUCUAAAUACGUUUGAUGAGAUUUUACGAUUUUUGCUUUUUUGAUUUAUAUCGAUUUUCUGCCGGGGAGUCUGGCAGAAAAUUAAAAAUUUGCCAUGAGAAACAUUUUUUUGUAGCAUCUUCCUUUUAAGUAAAAUUAUUUCUUAGUACAUUCUUAAAAGUAAACCCUUGACAAAAUUGAAAGUAAGGAAUGCUAGUUGAGUGUAAAAGUUGUUAAAAAAAGUUUAUGCCAUUAAAAAAAUUGAACUAAAAUAACCGUGCCCCUGGUCUGAUAAUUUGUUUUUUUAUCAUAAUCUUUUAUAUUUAAAUGGAGAGCUGUAUAAUUUUAAAAAUUAGCCCUUGGCUUUAACGAUCGGUUAGGAAAUAUAAAUAGGGCAAUACAGAAUGAGAACAAAACUCACUCUAUUCUUACGCUAUUAAUAAAGUUUCGGUAGAGUGUGAUGAAAUGACUAAUCACUUCCAUAGACUUGGAAUAUCCAAUCUAACAAUAAAAUAUUGGAUUACGAAAAAUAUCCCACCGUUAGCGGAGCCCUACGUAAAUACUAAGCAUAUCCAUCAGCUUACAGAGAAAAAUAACGGGUAUUGGUUUUAUAGAUUGCCAUAUGACAUCAAUCAUUUUGAACCACGUAUUUUAA
This 1947-nucleotide long non-coding RNA is filed under the name Anthonomus grandis grandis. RNAcentral describes it as "uncharacterized LOC126742283". Lineage: Eukaryota; Metazoa; Arthropoda; Insecta; Coleoptera; Curculionidae. The record is from RNAcentral.